This 450-nucleotide ribosomal RNA is filed under the name uncultured bacterium. Its description in RNAcentral is "partial 16S ribosomal RNA". It matches the Rfam family "Bacterial small subunit ribosomal RNA", at positions 354 to 796 of the family's 1533-position model. The record is from RNAcentral.
GUGAGGAAUUUUGCGCAAUGGCCGCAAGGCUGACGCAGCAACGCCGCGUGGGUGAUGAAGGCCUUCGGGUCGUAAAGCCCUGUCAGGUGGGAAGAAAGGCUUGGAGAAGCAACGCUUUGAGUUUGACGGUACCACCAGAGGAAGCACCGGCUAACUCCGUGCCAGCAGCCGCGGUAAUACGGAGGGUGCGAGCGUUAUUCGGAAUUACUGGGCGUAAAGCGCGUGUAGGCGGGGAUGCAAGUCUGAUGUGAAAGCCCUGGGCUUAACCUGGGAAGUGCAUUGGAAACUGCAUUUCUUGAGUACUGGAGAGGAAGGGGGAAUUCCCGGUGUAGAGGUGAAAUUCGUAGAGAUCGGGAGGAAUACCAGUGGCGUAGGCGCCCUUCUGGACGGUAACUGACGCUGAGACGCGAAAGCGUGGGGAGCAAACAGGAUUAGAAACCCCUGUAGUCC